RNAcentral lists this ribosomal RNA (453 nucleotides) under uncultured bacterium. Its description in RNAcentral is "bacterial SSU rRNA". It matches the Rfam family "Bacterial small subunit ribosomal RNA", at positions 28 to 478 of the family's 1533-position model. The record is from RNAcentral.
GAUGAACGCUGGCGGCGUGCUUAACACAUGCAAGUCGAACGAAGCACUUUAUUACGAUUUCUUCGGAAUGACGAUUUAGUGACUGAGUGGCGGACGGGUGAGUAACGCGUGGGUAACCUGCCUUAUACAGGGGGAUAACAGUUAGAAAUGACUGCUAAUACCGCAUAAGCGCACAGGAUUGCAUGAUCUGGUGUGAAAAACUCCGGUGGUAUAAGAUGGACCCGCGUCUGAUUAGCUGGUUGGUGAGGUAACGGCCCACCAAGGCGACGAUCAGUAGCCGACCUGAGAGGGUGACCGGCCACAUUGGGACUGAGACACGGCCCAAACUCCUACGGGAGGCAGCAGUGGGGAAUAUUGCACAAUGGGGGAAACCCUGAUGCAGCGACGCCGCGUGAGCGAAGAAGUAUUUCGGUAUGUAAAGCUCUAUCAGCAGGGAAGAAAAAAUGACGGUAC